Molecule: ribosomal RNA, 367 nt
Filed under: uncultured organism
Description: bacterial SSU rRNA
Rfam family: Bacterial small subunit ribosomal RNA
Source: RNAcentral
GGAGGGUGCAAGCGUUAUCCGGAUUCACUGGGUUUAAAGGGUGCGUAGGUGGGCAGGUAAGUCAGUGGUGAAAUCUCCGAGCUUAACUCGGAAACUGCCAUUGAUACUAUCUGUCUUGAAUUAUCUGGAGGUGAGCGGAAUAUGUCAUGUAGCGGUGAAAUGCUUAGAUAUGACAUAGAACACCAAUUGCGAAGGCAGCUCACUACGGAUAUAUUGACACUGAGGCACGAAAGCGUGGGGAUCAAACAGGAUUAGAUACCCUGGUAGUCCACGCCCUAAACGAUGGAUACUCGACAUCAGCGAUACACUGUUGGUGUCUGAGCGAAAGCAUUAAGUAUCCCACCUGGGAAGUACGAUCGCAAGAUUG